Molecule: ribosomal RNA, 212 nt
Filed under: Suillus tomentosus
Lineage: Eukaryota; Fungi; Basidiomycota; Agaricomycetes; Boletales; Suillaceae
Description: partial 28S ribosomal RNA
Rfam family: Eukaryotic large subunit ribosomal RNA
Source: RNAcentral
UUGACCUCAAAUCAGGUAGGACUACCCGCUGAACUUAAGCAUAUCAAUAAGCGGAGGAAAAGAAACUAACAAGGAUUCCCCUAGUAACUGCGAGUGAACCGGGAAAAGCUCAAAUUUUGAAUCUGGCGGUCCUUCGGGCCGUCCGAGUUGUAAUCUAGAGAAGCGUCUUCCGCGCUGGACCGUGUAUAAGUUUCCUGGAAUGGAACGUCGUA